RNAcentral lists this ribosomal RNA (253 nucleotides) under uncultured bacterium. RNAcentral's name for it is "partial 16S ribosomal RNA". It matches the Rfam family "Bacterial small subunit ribosomal RNA", at positions 524 to 776 of the family's 1533-position model. The record is from RNAcentral.
UACGAAGGGGGCUAGCGUUGCUCGGAAUCACUGGGCGUAAAGGGUGCGUAGGCGGGUCUUUAAGUCAGGGGGGAAAUCCUGGAGCUCAACUCCAGAACUGCCUUUGAUACUGAGGAUCUUGAGUCCGGGAGAGGUGAGUGGAACUGCGAGUGUAGAGGUGAAAUUCGUAGAUAUUCGCAAGAACACCAGUGGCGAAGGCAGCUCGCUACACUAUUAUUGACGCUGAGGCACGAAAGCGUGGGGAGCAAACAGG